GACAGAGGGUGCAAACGUUGCUCGGAAUUACUGGGCGUAAAGGGCGUGUAGGCGGCCAAUUAAGUCCGACGUGAAAUCCCCAGGCUUAACCUGGGAACUGCGUCGGAUACUGGAUGGCUUGAGUCCGGGAGAGGGAUGCGGAAUUCCAGGUGUAGCGGUGAAAUGCGUAGAUAUCUGGAGGAACGCCGGUGGCGAAGGCGGCAUCCUGGGCCAAUUCUGACGCUGAGGAGCGAAAGCCAGGGGAGCAAACGGG
This 253-nucleotide ribosomal RNA is filed under the name uncultured bacterium. RNAcentral's name for it is "partial 16S ribosomal RNA". It matches the Rfam family "Bacterial small subunit ribosomal RNA", at positions 524 to 776 of the family's 1533-position model. The record is from RNAcentral.